This 417-nucleotide ribosomal RNA is filed under the name Triticum aestivum (bread wheat). Its description in RNAcentral is "partial small subunit ribosomal RNA". The record is from RNAcentral. Lineage: Eukaryota; Viridiplantae; Streptophyta; Magnoliopsida; Poales; Poaceae.
AUGAUCGCCAAGUUUGGUAAUAUCUUAAACUGUCAGAUUGAACAACUUCCCAUAAGGUAUUUGGGUCUAUCGCUUAGUCUGAAACGAUUGCGCAAAGAGGACUUUCAGUACUUGAUUGACAAGAUCAGAGACAAAUUAGGGACAUGGCGAACCGGCUUGUUUCAGAGUGGUCGUUUGAUAUUGGUUCAGGCCGUGCUUUCGGCUAUACCAAUUUUUCAUCUCAUGUCGUUGGAUCCACCUCCGUGGGUGUUCAAGGCCAUUGAUACAAUUAGGAGAGCUUUCCUUUCGAAGGGUACUGAAGUUGUGAAUGGUGGCCAUUGUUUAGUGAGUUGGAAAUAUGUUUGCAGACCGAAGGGGUGUGGUGGCUUGGGCAUACUGGACACUCAGAUUAUUAAUUCUGCUCUCAAGUUACGUUAG